ACAGUAACCGGGGGCAUUCCAAAGUGCGCAGCCGCGAAGUGGCAAAGGGCUUCCUCACCAUCCUAUACCCCCCAACCCACCAGCAGGGGUUAGCCGCUCCAGGGAGAGACCUCCUAUGCGCCAACCCUAACUUCAAGGACAAGGUCCAGAGAGGAAUCAUGGGGUGUCCCAGCUUCCAUACACCGCGAGCCUAGGGAGCAAAGGCAUCUGGGGCCCCUGAAAGCCUGGCACCUGAAAAGGGAUACCCCAGUCUCCAGCUUGUCCUCCUCCCCAACCGGAGCCCGAGGGAGGCGCUGGCAGCAGGAAGCCGGGGAAGGGCCCGGAGGAGCGCAGGCCCCACAGCCGAGCGAUCCGAGAGCGAAGGAGAGUGCAACACUGGACCCAAACUGCUCAACAGUGUCCUCAUAGGGACAUGAAGGUGGGGAAGGAUUGCUGACCUGCUAAGGAGCACCCUGAUAUGGGGAUCUGGGAGCACAAGAGGCCCAGGAAGAAUGUGCCCCCUGCACCUUACUUACAUACCCUGCCUGGACUCAGAGAGACCAGAAUCCAGACAACAGUUGCUGCUGGGCACGGCCACUCGUCCUGGCUUGUGGCAGAGGGCUCAGGCACAAGGUGGGCGGUUAGAGCUCUGGCACCAGAGCCCUUCUCGACAUCCCCACUGCUUCCAACCAGUCCAAGCCCCAUCUCUGACUUAGAAGAUGGUUGUUAUUCCUCACUGGCUUACCAGCUGUCACCUCAUCCCCCUUCAGCCAGUUCCCCAUCAGCGAUCCAUGUGAGACUUGGACCAGGACACUCCCCUGCUUAAGGAUCUCAAGGUUCCCAUUCCUCUUUAAUAAAACCCCAACUCCUUACUUUGGCUUAGAAAGAUACACGAUGUGACCUUUGCCCACCCUCUGAACACCUCUCCUGCUAGUCUGUCCCUUGAUUUCUUCACUGCAAUCACAAUGGCCCCUUUGCUGUUUCUCCAGCAGGCAGAGAUCUUUCUCAGCUCACACUUUCUGCCUUCACAUGGCCUCUGCCUGGAAUGCCCUUACCCAUACUCUUUGCAUGGCUUAUGGUGCAGGUCCCAGCAUGGGCAUCACAACUCACAGAGGCCUUCCCUGAAAAAACAGUGGCUUUGUCUGAGGAGCCCCACUCCCCAUAAAUCCCCCUACACCCAGCAGCCUGCACACAGCAUUGUCUGAAAUGACCUUGUUUGUAUAUUUACUUGUUUAUUGCCCAUGCCUCCCCCCAGCAAGAAUGUAACCUCCAAGAGGACAAGUGUUGUGUCUCGCUUACUCACAUCUGUGGCCUCAGUGCCUCGCAUUGCCACCCCCACGCCCCACCGCCCCCAGAGUGCCGCAAAGAGAGUGCAAAAUAAAUAUUUGUUAAAUGAAUGAUGAAGGGAAUGGUGGAGGAGGCUGUCUGGGCCCUUUAUGGAAUUACUUCAGCUCAGUUAUGUCUAUUU
This 1447-nucleotide long non-coding RNA is filed under the name Gorilla gorilla gorilla (western lowland gorilla). Its description in RNAcentral is "lncRNA (ENSGGOG00000044273.1)". The record is from RNAcentral. Lineage: Eukaryota; Metazoa; Chordata; Mammalia; Primates; Hominidae.